GUUCAAGUAGUGUAAAAUAAAACGUUGGUCUUGUAAAUCAAAAAUGAGAAAAGUUCUCCUAGAACU
RNAcentral lists this transfer RNA (66 nucleotides) under Platycnemis foliacea. RNAcentral's name for it is "tRNA-Thr". It matches the Rfam family "tRNA". From Rfam's summary of the family: Transfer RNA (tRNA) molecules are approximately 80 nucleotides in length. Their secondary structure includes four short double-helical elements and three loops (D, anti-codon, and T loops). Further hydrogen bonds mediate the characteristic L-shaped molecular structure. tRNAs have two regions of fundamental functional importance: the anti-codon, which is responsible for specific mRNA codon recognition, and the 3' end, to which the tRNAs corresponding amino acid is attached (by aminoacyl-tRNA synthetases). tRNAs cope with the degeneracy of the genetic code in two manners: having more than one tRNA (with a specific anti-codon) for a particular amino acid; and 'wobble' base-pairing, i.e. permitting non-standard base-pairing at the 3rd anti-codon position. Lineage: Eukaryota; Metazoa; Arthropoda; Insecta; Odonata; Platycnemididae. The record is from RNAcentral.